AUGGACAGGUACUACAUGUUUUGGUACCGACAGGGGCCACGUGGCUCUCUUGAGUGGAUUUACCGGGAGGGUGAUGCCUAUGGAACAGGUUUCCAGGAUCGCUUUAAGGGAUCAGUGGAAAGCUCCAAGAACAGAUGCACCCUGCAGAUUCUGUCGGCAAGGCAUGAGGAUGAAGCAGUGCUUAGCAGUGUGAGGAGCGAUAAGCUCACAUUUGGAAAGGGGACCACUCUUACAGUUGAACCAAACAAACAAAAAAGUUCUGUCCCAGAACUAAUUGUGAUGAAAUCAAAGAAACUGGAAAAAGAUGGCAGCAUUCAGAAAGCGGCUUGCUUGGCAAGAAACGUCUAUACAAAGAGCAUCAGCUUGGAGAUGUCCUCCAGUGAGGUCAUAUAUGAACUGAGUACAUCCAUUCUGACAUCAGACGGGUUGUACAAUGCUGUUAAGGUGGUCCAAGUGAAAAACGACGCAGAGGUAACCUGCAUGGCCAAAUUCAGCAGCAGCACUUUUAUAGCCAACACAACAUCGCCAGAACAGGAGGCUGAAGAACCAGUAACGGGGAAUAUUUGCAAUACCACAGACAUCUCUGCACAAGAUCCGAAAGUGGAGAAAGCGAACAUGCUGUCUAUGGCUGUCUUGGGUUUGAGAGUUCUGCUGGCUAAAAGUAUCGCCUUCAAUACACUUAUGAGUAUCAAGUUGUUUCUCUUCUGA
This is a non-coding RNA of Chaetura pelagica (chimney swift), 708 nucleotides long. The record is from the annotation of a RefSeq genome assembly. Lineage: Eukaryota; Metazoa; Chordata; Aves; Apodiformes; Apodidae.